UUCUUGGUUUAAUUUUUUUUCAAUUGCCAUAUCCUCACCCUACAAUUAUAGCGAGUGAGAUAUGUAAUGGCCAUGCUGAGACUGUCAAACAGCUGAAUUUUCUAACUGCCCAAUACUGGACACCAGUGUGAUGUUUUUAGGUAUUUAAUCCUCUUAUUAGUAACUGUGAUUCAUAAUAAUUUAAGCUUUAAAUAAUAUUCCACCUUACAUCUGCAUGUAAUAGAGCUCAGUUAUUAUUUGUGGCAAGAAUUUUUGUGACUGUACUGCUCAGCACUUCUAUUUACAUCAGCAGUGCUAAAUGCCCAAUGGUGAGAGGGGAGCCAAUCAGAUGGCAGAUUAGAUGUCAACUCAGAGGCAGCUGUCUGGAGACUAUUACAGCCAGUUUACCUCCACAAUUCAAAUUCCAAACCUUGCAAAGGAGAUCAAGUCAGUCUUUAGGCUCAGCCUCCGAGCGAGAAACAGCAAGAGUGCAGGACUCUUCCUAAUAACGCUGUAGGACUUGCGGGGGGACAGGAAAUUAAAAAUCCAAAUAAAUCUGAUUCAAAAAGAUCCAUUUUCACUGGUCUGCUCCCUCCCUGGGUUCGCUGACUAAAAACGUACGCCUAACCCACGAUCCAAAUAAGUUCAGUUUAACCGGAAUGUGGUCCUUUAACGCAGCCUAUCCGUUGAAGGUGACUCCUUUCAAGCAGCCUGCAAGCCAAAUAAUGGAUUUCCCCGGCUUAUUCUUGGGAAUGAAUCGAUAUAUUUUAGGGUCGUUUUCCUCCCCAUCGUUCUAAGACGUGGGUACUCUUUUUGGCUACUAAACGCUCAAAACUCGAAGCCCGCGUCGAAUAUCGCCGAAUGCCUGGGCACAACUACGAAACACACGCUCGGCUGCCACAAAGCUAACCUUUUUUUUUUUUUCCUCCUGCCUUCACCUUGUGAGCUCUAAGAGGGAAAAACGCGGUGUGGCCUGAGGUAGGACAAAGUUCCUCAUUCUUUCCUCAGUUCGAGCUCAUGGUGGGCGCUACCCGAGAAGCGGGGGGCAGUUAUUUCUCCUCAGACCCUACCGGCCCGGAGCGCCUAUUUCUGCGGUAAAAAUAAAUAAAUAUAUAAAAUAAAGCUGCCCGAACGGUCCCCGGCGCCCACACGGCUUCCCGGUGGCGCGGUCCCGGCCGC
This 1158-nucleotide long non-coding RNA is filed under the name Capra hircus (goat). RNAcentral describes it as "lncRNA (ENSCHIG00010005748.1)". The record is from RNAcentral. Lineage: Eukaryota; Metazoa; Chordata; Mammalia; Artiodactyla; Bovidae.